Molecule: ribosomal RNA, 253 nt
Filed under: uncultured bacterium
Lineage: Bacteria
Description: partial 16S ribosomal RNA
Rfam family: Bacterial small subunit ribosomal RNA
Source: RNAcentral
UACGUAGGGUGCGAGCGUUGUCCGGAAUUACUGGGCGUAAAGAGCUCGUAGGUGGUUUGUCGCGUUGUUCGUGAAAACUGGAGGCUCAACCUCUGGCGUGCGGGCGAUACGGGCAGACUUGAGUACUGCAGGGGAGACUGGAAUUCCUGGUGUAGCGGUGGAAUGCGCAGAUAUCGGGAGGAACACCGGUGGCGAAGGCGGUUCUCUGGGCCUUACCUGACGCUGAGGAGCGAAAGCGUGGGGAGCGAACAGG